Molecule: ribosomal RNA, 254 nt
Filed under: uncultured bacterium
Lineage: Bacteria
Description: partial 16S ribosomal RNA
Rfam family: Bacterial small subunit ribosomal RNA
Source: RNAcentral
UACGUAGGGCGCAAGCGUUAUCCGGAAUUAUUGGGCGUAAAGAGCUCGUAGGCGGUUUGUCGCGUCUGCCGUGAAAGUCCGGGGGCUCAACUCCGGAUCUGCGGUGGGUACGGGCAGACUAGAGUGAUGUAGGGGAGACUGGAAUUCCUGGUGUAGCGGUGAAAUGCGCAGAUAUCAGGAGGAACACCGAUGGCGAAGGCAGGUCUCUGGGCAUUAACUGACGCUGAGACACGAAAGCUAGGGGAGCGAACGGG